CCUACGGGAGGCUGCAGUAGGGAAUAUUGCUCAAUGGGGGAAACCCUGAAGCAGCAACGCCGCGUGGAGGAUGACGGCCUUCGGAUUGUAAACCUCUUUUGUUAGAGAAGAUAAUGACGGUAUCUAACGAAUAAGCACCGGACAAUUCCGUGCCAGCAGCCGCGGUAAUACGGAGGGUGCAAGCGUUACUCGGAAUCACUGGGCGUAAAGAGCGCGUAGGCGGGAUAGCAAGUCAGAUGUGAAAUCCUAUGGCUUAACCAUAGAACUGCAUUUGAAACUGUUAUUCUAGAGUAUGGGAGAGGUAGGUGGAAUUCUUGGUGUAGGGGUAAAAUCCGUAGAGAUCAAGAAGAAUACUCAUUGCGAAGGCAGCCUACUAGAACGUAACUGACGCUGAUGCGCGAAAGCGUGGGGAGCAAACAGGAUUAGAUACCCCGGUAGUC
Molecule: ribosomal RNA, 440 nt
Filed under: uncultured bacterium
Lineage: Bacteria
Description: partial 16S ribosomal RNA
Rfam family: Bacterial small subunit ribosomal RNA
Source: RNAcentral